Long non-coding RNA from Chrysemys picta bellii (western painted turtle), 2315 nucleotides. Lineage: Eukaryota; Metazoa; Chordata; Testudines; Emydidae. The record is from Ensembl.
AUGAUGGGACAAAGAGGGCAGGAGAAUCUCAGUGAAAUUGAGGAAAACUGGUGCUUGCGUGUGUGUGCACGCAUACACAUAUGGACGCACCUGCACACUUGCAAGGGAAUGUGGAGAACAGGGAGGGAAACUGUAGGGAGGGAGAUUAAAGGAAAAUAGGGGGUUCAGAAGGGAGUCUGAGCAGGUUUUGUGGAGCAUGGGGCAAGGUGGUUGUUCAGCCUCCCUUUCAACCGAUGGCAUUUCUGUGUUGGAUGUGGAAGGGGUAAGAGUGAGUUAACAACUGGCACCAGUGGAUGCAGCAGGUAUUAGGGAGAGUGGUUCCUGAUUUUAAAGGAAAAACUGUUAGUUCAUGAGAGAUGGCUGUAGAUGGCAUGAUACUCUCUUGCAUGAAUCUUUUGUAAGACAUGAGAUUUGGCAGGAUUAUAACAAAUUAAUGGAUGAUUGCUCUAGUCUAGUCUGUUUUGUAUUCUAGCCUGAGUCAUCCAUUUAAGUAUUGGUGAGGUUUGUUAAGGUCAAACUUCCUUCUAGUAUUGAAUUGCAUUGUUCUCCAGCUAUUCUCUAUUCCCAUUUAAAAAGUAAUGGACAGUUCAUGAAUGGAUCCUUUUUCCAAAAAGACAUUUGAUACAGAAUUCCAAAUGCAUAUUUGGGCAUAUUUAGCAACCGGGUAGGGUUUCAUCCUCCUUUUAUGUGUUACAAUUGCAACUGGAAAAGUAUGAUGGUAAAGGUGGUAACUAUACCAGAGAAACAGAACUGAGUUUCUGUUUGCCUAGCAGAAAAAAUGAUUAAACAUAUUAUAGAGUUAGUUAUAGCCUUACUCCAUUACAAGCAAUUUAGAGUCCCUUCAGUGCACAGUCCUAGGGAGCACAACUGACCCUUGAUAUAAAUUAAUGUUUGCAAUCUUGGAAAAACAUGGCCAUUUAGAAUUACUACUCUAUUAAAAGGUGGUUUGUGAGCAGUGUGAUUUUUUCCCCCUUGGAGAAAGCUGGAAAUAGUUCAGGAAAGUAACCACAUUUUGUGAAGUGAAAUUGUAUACAAACAUUCAACAUAAGUAACAGAGUCUAAUUACAGAUUUGAAGUGGAGAGGUGGAUUAGAUAACACAGUCAUGAAAGUAAAUGUAGGGCAGAUGAAGGCAUCUAAAAGUGCCUAUUCUCACCGGAUGUUGAUGUUUAGCUUCAAAUUUUACAGUAUUUCUGAAGACCUAAAUCUCAGAAUAGAUUUCUAGCUGCACUUCCCUUCUCACGCUAUUUAGGCCAAGGAUCCCCCUAGAAGACUUCUAAAGAGGGCUUACCUGAAGAGGUCUCUGGGGUUAUGUCUACACUGCAAUUAAACACCAGUGGCUGGCCCGUGUUAGCUGACUCGGGCUUGCAGGGCUCAGACUGUAAAACUGAGGUGUAGACACUGGCUUGGGCUGGAGCUCAGGCCCCAUUGAGGGUCCCAGAGGUCAGGCUCCAGCCCAAGCCCUGAACAUCUAAACUGCAAUUUUACAGCCCCACAGCCCAAGCCUUGUGAGCCUGAGUCAGUUGACAUGGGCCAGCCGAGGGUGUUUAAUUGCAGUGUAGACAUAACCUGAUAUUGCAAGACCCACCUUCCUGUUAAUUACCACUAGCAACAACAUUUCAUUAUCCAGCCAGUAGGAGGUGUUCUUGUAACAGCAAAAAGCUGAAGGCCUUGUCAAACUUGCCAGCUGGAACAGAAAACUAUUCUGUCACUCAUGUAGCCCAAUGUCUUGUAUUUCAAAAAUAACAAGCACAAAAAAAUUGCACAGUCUAAUUGUUUUUAUCAGCAACACCAGCUUUAAUUCAGUGCAAGUAUUAUAGCCAUCUAAUUUUCAAACUUGCUCAGCUAUUUCCUGGAGCAGCUGCAAUUCAAACAUUUCUAAGUUAGUUAGAGGUUGUAUCCUAAUGUUGAGAGGAUUGACAAAUAGUUUUGGGGUGGUUUUUUCAGUGUGGGGUGCUGAAGGAAUGAAGGCAGAACUUAAUAUAUUUAACAUUGCAAUUGCCACUUAAAAAAUGAAUUAAUUAUUGACUGAAUCUUUACUUCCAGAAUUUGAAUAUUUUUAUCUUGACUCCUCUUGAUAUCUCUUAGUGUUAGACAUUGUAUGCCAGCAUAACACAUUUUAAUCUGUUUAUGGAACCACUUAGCUCUUUAGUAGAUUUUCCUUUAAAUAAUCCAGGGUGGUUUUGUUUGUUUCUCGAGAAUUUAACCCCAAGUCUUUUCUUUUUUUUAUCUUGGUAUUCACAAAAGUUCAUCAUUUAGGGUCUGGUCAUGCUCCCAUUGAAAUAAAUGACAAACUCCCACUAACUUUAAUAGGAAU